GUGCUCACUUUAGCAGUACAUAUAUAAAAAUUGGAACUAUGCAGGGAAGAUGAGCACGGUCCUGUUGAAGGAUGACACACAUUCAGGAAGUGUCCUGUGUUUUU
Molossus molossus (Pallas's mastiff bat) is the source of this 104-nucleotide small nuclear RNA. Lineage: Eukaryota; Metazoa; Chordata; Mammalia; Chiroptera; Molossidae. The record is from RefSeq and is a predicted model, not a curated record.